GAAAGGAGUUGAUGAAUUCCCCUACUGUGUGCACUUGGUGUCUUGGGAGAAGGAGAAUGUGUCCAGCGAGGCUCUCGAGGCUGCUCGUAUUGCCUGCAACAAGUACAUGACCAAGUACGCAGGAAAGGAUGCGUUCCAUCUGCGUGUGCGUGUGCACCCCUUCCACGUGCUUCGUAUCAACAAGAUGCUUUCGUGUGCUGGAGCUGAUAGGCUCCAGACAGGUAUGAGGGGAGCUUUCGGUAAGCCCCAGGGUGUAUGUGCUCGUGUUGCCAUCGGACAGGUGUUGCUGUCCGUGCGUUGCAAGGACCAGAACGGAGUUCACGCUCAGGAGGCCCUUCGUCGUGCGAAGUUCAAAUUCCCUGGCCGUCAAAAGAUUAUCGUGAGCAGGAAAUGGUGAGUAUUUUUUCAUCCGUUCAGGAUGAUGGUUCUUUGUUAGCGUAACACAUGAUAUGAGCAUCAAGUAAUGAGUUUUUUCAUUAUUUGGGAUGUAGUAGCCGAAAUUUCUCACUCGUACUUGAUGUAACAUGCAGGGGAUUCACUAAGUUCGCCAGGGUUGACUACGUGAAGUGGAAGGAAGAAAACCGUUUGGUGAAUGACGGUGUCACCGCCAAGGUAUACAAUGCUUCGCUGAUGUGCAUAUGAGCUGUACAUGCUUUGCUUGAAUCAGUGCGGAAUUUGUGCUUUUUCUGAAUUUCCUCUCAUACAGUUUUUCCGAGAAGUUUCAAUUUUUUUGCGUUUCAUCUAACCUGUGCUUUAUUUCUAACUCUUAUGCUCAUUUUAAUCCACUUUAUGUUGCCUGAAAUGCAGCUUCUUGGAUGCCACGGACCCUUGGCCAAUCGCUCUGCCGGAAGAGCAUUCAUUGACGCUGCUGUUGCCACUCACUAGCCAGGUUCACUUAUGUCCUGCUUGUAGAGUUCAAUGUAUUCAGCCUUGACUAUCAAUGAAUGGAUUGUUUCAAUCCAAAUUGUGAUGGGAUUGAAGUAUUUUGUGGAGUAUGAAUGGCUGUUGCAUGUUGAACUAUCCGCUCUUGCACUAGCCUUUGAUAUUGUAAGUUUCCUAAUGUUCUUGGACUAAGUUUUUCGUACAUGUGAACUCUAAAUGCUAGAGAGUCUCGUGAAUGACAUAAAUCUUGUGCGCAUUUGCCUUGUAUUCCUAGCAACAAUCAGUAGCGGGUGUCUAGAUUUUGUGACAGUCUUGUGUGUUGUAAUAUUUUUCUUUACUCCAGAAAACCCAUUUAAUGCGUGGCUUGUUGUGUAUCUGAUGAACUACGGAAUGGUGGUUGGAUAUUAAUUUUGUGCAUGCGUAUACAAUUUUUUAAGAGCACUUUAGAAGGAUCUGCAUGGUGUUUAAGUGUAGAUUAACUUUUGGCAAUUACCAUAAUUCGAAUCGAGUUCCAGGUUAUUUUGAUCACCGAAUCGGGAUAUGUUAGUUUUCAUCUUUAGUUGUAAAUGUUAUGAAGAAACAAUGAAGAUAAAGCAUGUCGCUUUUUGAAUCAUUAUUUGUAUGUUACUCAAAUCUCUACGUUGAAAAAUGUGUUAAAUAAAUAUUGAGUUUGCACAUUCUGUAUAGAUUCUAUUGCAGAUGCGCUCAUCCUUAUCAUUCACCUAGAAACGUUAUGUUUGUGUUUAUCAUUCUAUCACGAAGUGCAUCAUAUCGAUAAACUGUACAAUGUAGUCUUUAAUUGUAAGUUUUACCGUUAUUUGAAUUGUAUGAAUUUCUGUCACAAUCGUCUUAUUCUCCGCAUGUAUCCUGUUUCGAAAAUCAUAACUAAAGGUAACAAUAAUCGUGGAUGUGAACUUUAAGUGAAAUAAUCGUUAUAUUUUUACUGUAAGAGAACCAGUCUAUAGCUACAAUCUUAUGUCGCCCAUAUCGUUAAUAUCUUGUUUUAUAUUUUGAUUUCCUAUAUGAAAAUCCACCACUUAUUUAGCUGAGAAGGAUCACCUCGUGGCAUAUUGUGCAAGAGUUCCGAACAUAUACAAUUGAUUUAAAUAACGAUAGGUUAUUGACAACGUUGGUGAGGUUGUUCUAACCUUUGUAUCAAAAGUUGUAAAAGUUGUUUGGGACAGGAGGAUGAACUGUAGCAUAAUUGUACGCAGAACAUACUUCAGCUUCUUUAUGAUAUUCUACAAUUACACGCUUUUGAAUAUGUUGAGCAGCUCUGCAAGCACCCACAACGAAUAGUGCCUAAUGUAGUGCACAAGCUUCCUCCAGGUGGGUCAGUUUCAGAGACUACCCUGUUAUUGCCAAGCCCUGUGGCUCCUUUGAAUCUGCAGCCUCUGCAGCCAUUAUACAACGCCUGCUGGAGGAGGAACCUUGUUGGUUGGGUACAUUGGAAUGCCUUGCUGUGGAGGAUAUGGUUGAGCAGGGUAUCCGUAAGCAGGGCCACCUUGUUGCUCCAUGGCACUUCGAGACCUGGCCCUCAGGCUGCCCCGUAUACAUGCAAUACAGCAGUAUAAAAUAAGAAGCGCACCGAGAAUGGACCCAACGAUGGAUGUCACCACUUGCCAUUUCGAAAACCGAUGCUUUACACCUGCACAUGGUAACGAAACAUCAGAUAUCGAUGGGUUGUUUAUGUUGAUGAAAAGGAAAAGCUGCCAUGCAAAACUUUUGCCUUGAAUGGUUAAAUGAUCGAAUGAUGCAAAGACUGACGGAAUGAACUGCUUACAUCCAGUGUGGCCUUCUCCAUAUCGUCCAUCUCCAGUAUAUCCGCGUUUGCAAUUGCAAUAGUACGAGGUGGCGGUGUCAAUGCAGAACGCAUUGAUGUCACAUAGUGCUCUCCCUGUCCUGCAUUCAUUUACAACUGCACAGGACAAUAUGCCAUGUGUUUAAUUGAACAAGAGUUUUGUGAACAAGUUCUUUAUAUCUGAUAGAGUAUCUUGAAUCCCAAACUUGCUUAUGAGGAAUUUAUCACUUUUUCAACCAAUAAAUUUAGUACUAGGUGUUUUCCCCAAGAUGUACAUUGAUCCAUGAUAAAUUUGAAAUGCAUUUACCCGCAUGUUAGGUCGGACAACCUGGAUGAACUGAAAAUUUUAGAGGAUAAUAACAGUAUUCCAUCGUACAGAAGCAUCAACACUUCCUGCGAUAACGAAAAGAAAAAAGAAAAAAGAAAGUACACGAGUGCCAUCAUUUACUUUGUGCUUCUGCGGCUUGGAACUGUAAGACUUCGCACAGAGUCAGCACAGUCAGGAGGACUAGUAUCUUCCGAGCCCAUCCUUCCAUUUCUUAAAUAUAUUUCCUACAUCAUCCGAAUAAAUGGAGAAUGAGAUAAACAGAAAACAAAAUUUCAGACGAAUCAGACAGCAACUAGUAAGUGAAGAGGGGAGGAAGGAGCGUUGUCAAUCUACGACAAAGAGGCUUGCAUUGACCUCACUGCUAUUAAUACUUCAAAAGAAAGAAUGCAACGUUGCCUAAAGAUCUUGCCAUGCCGGUCGAAGGGAAAACCGAGAAAAUAAACAUCAAUAACUGAACGAAAGUAGGAAGACAAAAAAAGAAACAAAUAAAAAAAUGAGAAAAAGGAAAAAAGGUGGUGAAGCAUUUGCAACCUGAAAACUAUUAGUGGCAUCACCAAUGUUUGAAGUCAACAGUGACAACUCCGAACCAGCUACUUACAAAGAAUACUUUCGCUUGAAAGAAAGAAUCGCUCGACUAGCAUGGAGAAUCUGUCGAACCCGAACCAACCGCGGUGAGGAAAAUCAAACCUACGCACACUACAAAACUACAAACCAAGGCUAAAGAAUUUCUCGAAACUUAACAGACACCAUGCGCUUCUUCACAAUCAAACUUCCGAUCCCGCUAGCUGAAUUUUCCAACCGUGACGAACCGUAAAAACACAGUUCUCUACAUCCCCGUCCCACUCCCAAACAUACAGCCAUGGAAGCAACGUCGACAGAUCGCGACUCCUUUCCUGACACUCAACACCAACAAGCUAAGAACUAAUCCCGAAGAUCCUCUCUGCAGACUUAGCAAAUCAACGUACAUCGCAGCGGGAAGCUUGAACCGAGAUGGAGCGUAGCGGGACAAACCAGUACUUUCCAGGCAGUGCAUUUACGUGACAAAACCAACCUCCGUGACACAUUGAACUCUUGCUAAGAGAGUUACAAGAUUCAGGUUAGCAAAGUAC
Molecule: long non-coding RNA, 4120 nt
Filed under: Physcomitrium patens
Lineage: Eukaryota; Viridiplantae; Streptophyta; Bryopsida; Funariales; Funariaceae
Description: long non-coding RNA (PPAT_LNC001471)
Source: RNAcentral